AUUGAACGCUGGCGGAAUGCUUUACACAUGCAAGUCGAGCGGCAGCGCGGGGCAACCUGGCGGCGAGCGGCGAACGGGUGAGUAAUGUAUCGGAACGUGUCCUGUCGUGGGGGAUAGCCCGGUGAAAACCGGAUUAAUACCGCAUACGAUCGAGAGAUGAAAGUGGGGGUCCGCAAGGCCUCACGCGAUAGGAGCGGCCGAUAUCUGAUUAGCUAGUUGGUGGGGUAAAGGCCCACCAAGGCUUCGAUCAGUAGCUGGUCUGAGAGGAUGAUCAGCCACACUGGGACUGAGACACGGCCCAGACUCCUACGGGAGGCAGCAGUGGGGAAUUUUGGACAAUGGGGGCAACGCUGAUCCAGCCAUUCCGCGUGAGUGAAGAAGGCCUUCGGGUUGUAAAGCUCUUUUGUCCGGGAAGAAACGGUUUUGGCUAAUAACCAAGACUACUGACGGUACCGGAAGAAUAAGGACCGGCUAACUACGUGCCAGCAGCCGCCGUAA
RNAcentral lists this ribosomal RNA (498 nucleotides) under uncultured bacterium. RNAcentral's name for it is "partial 16S ribosomal RNA". It matches the Rfam family "Bacterial small subunit ribosomal RNA", at positions 30 to 523 of the family's 1533-position model. The record is from RNAcentral.